This 83-nucleotide transfer RNA is filed under the name archaeon. Its description in RNAcentral is "tRNA-Leu". It matches the Rfam family "tRNA". Rfam says of the family: Transfer RNA (tRNA) molecules are approximately 80 nucleotides in length. Their secondary structure includes four short double-helical elements and three loops (D, anti-codon, and T loops). The record is from RNAcentral.
GCAGGUGUGCCGGAGCGGUCAAACGGGACAGACUCAAGAUCUGUUGGCUUUUGCCUACCUAGGUUCGAAUCCUAGCACCUGCA